RNAcentral lists this ribosomal RNA (636 nucleotides) under Lissotes sp. NLG-2014. RNAcentral's name for it is "eukaryotic LSU rRNA". It matches the Rfam family "Eukaryotic large subunit ribosomal RNA", at positions 671 to 1265 of the family's 3401-position model. Lineage: Eukaryota; Metazoa; Arthropoda; Insecta; Coleoptera; Lucanidae. The record is from RNAcentral.
GAGUCUAGCAUGUGCGCGAGUCAUUGGGACCGCACGAAACCUAAAGGCGAAAUGAAAGUGAAGGUCCGCCUCGCGCGGACCUAGGGAGGAUGGGCCCGCCCACGGGGGGCCCCGCACUCCCGGGGCGUCUCGUUCUCAUCGCGAGAGGAGGCGCACCCAGAGCGUACACGCUGGGACCCGAAAGAUGGUGAACUAUGCCUGGUCAGGACGAAGUCAGGGGAAACCCUGAUGGAGGUCCGUAGCGAUUCUGACGUGCAAAUCGAUCGUCGGAACUGGGUAUAGGGGCGAAAGACUAAUCGAACCAUCUAGUAGCUGGUUCCCUCCGAAGUUUCCCUCAGGAUAGCUGGCGCUCGCCGCGCGCGAGUCUCAUCCGGUAAAGCGAAUGAUUAGAGGCAUUGGGGUCGAAACGGCCUCAACCUAUUCUCAAACUUUAAAUGGGUGAGAUCUCCGGCUUGCUCGAACGCGUGAAGCCGCGAGAUUUCGGAUCAGAGUGCCAAGUGGGCCACUUUUGGUAAGCAGAACUGGCGCUGUGGGAUGAACCAAACGCAGAGUUAAAGCGCCCAAAUCGACGCUUAUGGGAUACCAUGAAAGGCGUUGGUAACUUAAGACAGCAGGACGGUGGCCAUGGAAGUCGGA